GGCAGCAUAUGGAUUGCUUGCAUCCAUGAUGGCGACCGGCGCACGGGUGCGUAACGCGUAUGUAACUUGCCUUAUGCAGGAGGAUAACCCGAAGAAAUUCGGCCUAAUACUCCAUAAGUGUCAGAGAGGCAUCUUUCGGGCAUGAAAGAUUUAUCGGCAUAAGAUAGACAUGCGUGACAUUAGCUAGUCGGUGAGGUAACGGCUCACCGAGGCGACGAUGUCUAGGGGUUCUGAGAGGAAGGUCCCCCACACUGGUACUGAGACACGGACCAGACUCCUACGGGAGGCAGCAGUGAGGAAUAUUGGUCAAUGGACGGAAGUCUGAACCAGCCAUGCCGCGUGCAGGAUGACGGCUCUAUGAGUUGUAAACUGCUUUUGUACGAGAAUAAUAGUUCUUACGUGUAGGGAUUUGAAUGUAUCGUACGAAUAAGGAUCGGCUAACUCCGUGCCAGCAGCCGCGGUAAUACGGAGGAUUCGAGCGUUAUCCGGAUUUAUUGGGUUUAAAGGGUGCGUAGGCUGUCGGAUAAGUUAGAGGUCAAAUGUCGGGGCUUAACCCCGUGCCUGCCUCUGAUACUGUUCGACUGGAGAGCGGAUGCAGCAGGCGGAAUGAGUAGUGUAGCGGUGAAAUGCUUAGAUAUUACUCAGAACACCGAUUGCGCAGGCAGCUUGCUAAUCCGCAUCUGACGCUGAUGCACGAAAGCGUGGGUAGCGAACAGGAUUAGAUACCCUGGUAGUCCACGCAGUAAACGAUGAUAACUCGUUGUCGGCGAUAUACAGUCGGUGACCCAGCGAAAGCGAUAAGUUAUCCACCUGG
This 814-nucleotide ribosomal RNA is filed under the name uncultured bacterium. RNAcentral describes it as "bacterial SSU rRNA". It matches the Rfam family "Bacterial small subunit ribosomal RNA", at positions 67 to 876 of the family's 1533-position model. The record is from RNAcentral.